GGCGUCGGCAUCGCGCGAAUUGCGUCAGGGCCGG
Molecule: non-coding RNA, 34 nt
Filed under: Schizochytrium aggregatum
Lineage: Eukaryota; Bigyra; Thraustochytrida; Thraustochytriidae
Source: RNAcentral